This 890-nucleotide ribosomal RNA is filed under the name Blastocystis sp. subtype 20. RNAcentral describes it as "SSU rRNA". It matches the Rfam family "Eukaryotic small subunit ribosomal RNA", at positions 602 to 1546 of the family's 1831-position model. Lineage: Eukaryota; Bigyra; Opalinata; Blastocystidae. The record is from RNAcentral.
AACGUCAGUCAUAGCGUAUAUAACGUGUGCAGUUAAAGCCGAGUGCAUGUGGAUGAGUAAUAUGAGUCUAAGUCAUGUAUAUGAUGACCCUCACUUAUAUAUGGGUAGUAUUUAUUGUAUAGAGUAGUCAUCUACUGUGAGAAAAAUAGAGUGUCAAGCAGGCAUCUGCUUGAAUAGAUUAGCAUCGAGUAAUACUAAUAAGGCGUUAUGAUCGAUUUAAUGGGUUUGAUCAUAAAAGCAAGAUAAAAGGAACAGUUGGGGGUAUUCAUAUUCAAUAGUUAGAGGUGAAAUUCUUGGAUUUAUGGAAGAUGAACUAGUGCGAAAGCAUUUACCAAGGAUGUUUUCAUUAAUCAAGAACGAAAGCUAGGGGAUUGAAGAGGCUUAGAUACCCUUGUAGUUUUAGCUAUAAACUAUACCGACUAGGGGUUAGUAGAAGUCAUUGUGUUUCUAUUAGUACCUUAUGAGAAAUCAAAGUUUUUGGGUUCCGGGGGGAGUAUGGUUGCAAGGGUGAAACUUAAAGGAAUUGACGGAAGGGCACCACCCGGAGUGGAGCCUGCGGCUUAAUUUGACUCAACCCGGGGAAACUUACCAGGUCCCGACAUAGGAAGGAUUGACAGAUUGAUAGCUUUUUUUUGAUUUUAUGGGUGGUGGUGCAUGGCCGUUUUUAGUUGGUGGAGUGAUUUGUUUGGUUAAUUCCGAUAACGAACGAGACCUCCGCCUGCUAAAUAGUAUAUAUUAUUUUGAAUAAUGUAUACUUCUUAGAGGGACACUAUACGUAUGAGUGUAGGGAAGCUGGAGGCAAUAACAGGUCUGUGAUGCCCUUAGAUGUUCUGGGCUGCACGCGCGCGACACUGAUCUAUUCAACAAGUGACUGAAUCGAUAGAUUUGGU